RNAcentral lists this ribosomal RNA (2978 nucleotides) under Salmonella enterica subsp. enterica serovar Infantis. RNAcentral's name for it is "bacterial LSU rRNA". It matches the Rfam family "Bacterial large subunit ribosomal RNA". Lineage: Bacteria; Pseudomonadati; Pseudomonadota; Gammaproteobacteria; Enterobacterales; Enterobacteriaceae. The record is from RNAcentral.
ACUAAGCGUACACGGUGGAUGCCCUGGCAGUCAGAGGCGAUGAAGGGCGUGCUAAUCUGCGAUAAGCGCCGGUAAGGUGAUAUGAACCGUUAUAACCGGCGAUACCCGAAUGGGGAAACCCAGUGUGAUUCGUCACACUAUCAUUAACUGAAUCCAUAGGUUAAUGAGGCGAACCGGGGGAACUGAAACAUCUAAGUACCCCGAGGAAAAGAAAUCAACCGAGAUUCCCCCAGUAGCGGCGAGCGAACGGGGAGGAGCCCAGAGCCUGAAUCAGCAUGUGUGUUAGUGGAAGCGUCUGGAAAGGCGCGCGAUACAGGGUGACAGCCCCGUACACAAAAGCGCAUGUGCUGUGAGCUCGAUGAGUAGGGCGGGACACGUGGUAUCCUGUCUGAAUAUGGGGGGACCAUCCUCCAAGGCUAAAUACUCCUGACUGACCGAUAGUGAACCAGUACCGUGAGGGAAAGGCGAAAAGAACCCCGGCGAGGGGAGUGAAAAAGAACCUGAAACCGUGUACGUACAAGCAGUGGGAGCACAGGUUUACCUGUGUGACUGCGUACCUUUUGUAUAAUGGGUCAGCGACUUAUAUUCUGUAGCAAGGUUAACCGAAUAGGGGAGCCGGAGGGAAACCGAGUCUUAACCGGGCGUUAAGUUGCAGGGUAUAGACCCGAAACCCGGUGAUCUAGCCAUGGGCAGGUUGAAGGUUGGGUAACACUAACUGGAGGACCGAACCGACUAAUGUUGAAAAAUUAGCGGAUGACCUGUGGCUGGGGGUGAAAGGCCAAUCAAACCGGGAGAUAGCUGGUUCUCCCCGAAAGCUAUUUAGGUAGCGCCUCGUGAAUUCAUCUCCGGGGGUAGAGCACUGUUUCGGCUAGGGGGCCAUCCCGGCUUACCAACCCGAUGCAAACUGCGAAUACCGGAGAAUGUUAUCACGGGAGACACACGGCGGGUGCUAACGUCCGUCGUGAAGAGGGAAACAACCCAGACCGCCAGCUAAGGUCCCAAAGUCAUGGUUAAGUGGGAAACGAUGUGGGAAGGCCCAGACAGCCAGGAUGUUGGCUUAGAAGCAGCCAUCAUUUAAAGAAAGCGUAAUAGCUCACUGGUCGAGUCGGCCUGCGCGGAAGAUGUAACGGGGCUAAACCAUGCACCGAAGCUGCGGCAGCGAACGUAUCACUUAAAGCGAUUCAGCGGGUUACGAUUGACGGAGCGAAGCGACGUCAAAGCGUAUACAAAGUCGAGUCGGUUUAAGGAUACGUUCGUUGGGUAGGGGAGCGUUCUGUAAGCCUGCGAAGGUGGCCUGUGAGGGUUGCUGGAGGUAUCAGAAGUGCGAAUGCUGACAUAAGUAACGAUAAAGCGGGUGAAAAGCCCGCUCGCCGGAAGACCAAGGGUUCCUGUCCAACGUUAAUCGGGGCAGGGUGAGUCGACCCCUAAGGCGAGGCCGAAAGGCGUAGUCGAUGGGAAACGGGUUAAUAUUCCCGUACUUGGUGUUACUGCGAAGGGGGGACGGAGAAGGCUAUGUUGGCCGGGCGACGGUUGUCCCGGUUUAAGCGUGUAGGUGUGUGUUCCAGGUAAAUCCGGUUCACUUUAACACUGAGGCGUGAUGACGAGGCACUACGGUGCUGAAGCAACAAAUGCCCUGCUUCCAGGAAAAGCCUCUAAGCAUCAGGUAACAUCAAAUCGUACCCCAAACCGACACAGGUGGUCAGGUAGAGAAUACCAAGGCGCUUGAGAGAACUCGGGUGAAGGAACUAGGCAAAAUGGUGCCGUAACUUCGGGAGAAGGCACGCUGACAUGUAGGUGAAGUGAUUUACUCAUGGAGCUGAAGUCAGUCGAAGAUACCAGCUGGCUGCAACUGUUUAUUAAAAACACAGCACUGUGCAAACACGAAAGUGGACGUAUACGGUGUGACGCCUGCCCGGUGCCGGAAGGUUAAUUGAUGGGGUCAGCGCAAGCGAAGCUCCUGAUCGAAGCCCCGGUAAACGGCGGCCGUAACUAUAACGGUCCUAAGGUAGCGAAAUUCCUUGUCGGGUAAGUUCCGACCUGCACGAAUGGCGUAAUGAUGGCCAGGCUGUCUCCACCCGAGACUCAGUGAAAUUGAACUCGCUGUGAAGAUGCAGUGUACCCGCGGCAAGACGGAAAGACCCCGUGAACCUUUACUAUAGCUUGACACUGAACAUUGAGCCUUGAUGUGUAGGAUAGGUGGGAGGCUUUGAAGCGUGGACGCCAGUCUGCGUGGAGCCGACCUUGAAAUACCACCCUUUAAUGUUUGAUGUUCUAACGUGGAUCCGUAAUCCGGGUUGCGGACAGUGUCUGGUGGGUAGUUUGACUGGGGCGGUCUCCUCCUAAAGAGUAACGGAGGAGCACGAAGGUUGGCUAAUCCUGGUCGGACAUCAGGAGGUUAGUGCAAUGGCAUAAGCCAGCUUGACUGCGAGCGUGACGGCGCGAGCAGGUGCGAAAGCAGGUCAUAGUGAUCCGGUGGUUCUGAAUGGAAGGGCCAUCGCUCAACGGAUAAAAGGUACUCCGGGGAUAACAGGCUGAUACCGCCCAAGAGUUCAUAUCGACGGCGGUGUUUGGCACCUCGAUGUCGGCUCAUCACAUCCUGGGGCUGAAGUAGGUCCCAAGGGUAUGGCUGUUCGCCAUUUAAAGUGGUACGCGAGCUGGGUUUAGAACGUCGUGAGACAGUUCGGUCCCUAUCUGCCGUGGGCGCUGGAGAACUGAGGGGGGCUGCUCCUAGUACGAGAGGACCGGAGUGGACGCAUCACUGGUGUUCGGGUUGUCAUGCCAAUGGCACUGCCCGGUAGCUAAAUGCGGAAGAGAUAAGUGCUGAAAGCAUCUAAGCACGAAACUUGCCCCGAGAUGAGUUCUCCCUGAGACUUAGAGUCUCCUGAAGGAACGUUGAAGACGACGACGUUGAUAGGCCGGGUGUGUAAGCGCAGCGAUGCGUUGAGCUAACCGGUACUAAUGAACCGUGAGGCUUAACC